Carassius gibelio (silver crucian carp) is the source of this 553-nucleotide long non-coding RNA. RefSeq lists it as uncharacterized. The transcript has 4 exons. Lineage: Eukaryota; Metazoa; Chordata; Actinopteri; Cypriniformes; Cyprinidae. The record is from RefSeq and is a predicted model, not a curated record.
UUUUGCAACCCGUUCUCAUCAGUCUGCGUAUAAAUAACACGACUUUACACUUUCUAUUUGCGUGUAAUGCAUACGCCAAAUGCCAUUUUUGCGUGCAUAUGAUACGCCAAUCCUUCCCAUUAAUUUCGGUGGAGAGCAGAUGCGUCCAAAUAACACGCAUCAUCUUCAGCGGCAGUGACGUCACCAGCGAGGCUCGUUCAGUUCACCUGAUGCGCGUACACCUUCAAACAGGUAAGCAAGGAAUUAACAGGGAACUUCAACUCCACGCUCCCAAUGCUGAUAUUGAAGAAGCUGUCAAGGGGGCUGAACAAGUCCUUCAAAGGAUCAACCCUUCACAGGAAGGCCUGUCAUGAGAUUUGAAUUUGACCAUCUUGUGCAUUUAUGAAGAAGACCAAAAGCUGCAAAGGCAAACACUUCCAAUGGAUUUCUCACAGAUUACUUAAUCAUUCUUCAUCAGCUCUUCACAAUAUCAGCCCAUUCAAAAGCUUCCAGAUCUUCCUCUCUUGUGUGACACAUCUGCUCUCAGUCCUUUACUGCCAACCUCCAGUCUUAG